UUAUACCAAAACUACUUGGAGUUGCAGGUAGGCGGCAAGAGAGUGAAUCCCCAUCAGCAUAGACAGACUAUGUGAUUGGGGUGAACGAACGUAGCCAAUACCGCUGCAGCUUCAAGUAGGUAUAG
This is a non-coding RNA of Vibrio cholerae O1, 125 nucleotides long. It matches the Rfam family "Vibrio RNA AS5". From Rfam's summary of the family: Identified by direct cloning an parallel sequencing experiments with 5S/tRNA depletion. NCBI's taxonomy places the organism in Bacteria, Pseudomonadati, Pseudomonadota, Gammaproteobacteria, Vibrionales, Vibrionaceae. The record is from Rfam.